UGCCUGUAAUAUCCUGAUUUUGCUCUUCAGUGGAGUCGUGAACAUAAUUCUCAGUGAAAGACUGAGAAGAACAAAAUGUAAACUGUGUACAGCACAUCACAAAAAUCUUUGUGCUGUGUCUGCUCCUCCUCAACCAUGCGCAUCUGUAUCAGACGAUCAAGAGAGUAUAGAUGUGAACUACACAGUUCUGCAGUUUCCUAUAGAAAACACAAAUCCAGAGAGUUCAGAGAAUGAGGAGAGAGAGGAAAGAGGGAAGAAAACUAUUUAUUCCAGCCUAAAAUGUCAAAUCUCCAACAUCACUGAGGAAGACUGA
Danio aesculapii is the source of this 313-nucleotide long non-coding RNA. RefSeq lists it as uncharacterized. NCBI's taxonomy places the organism in Eukaryota, Metazoa, Chordata, Actinopteri, Cypriniformes, Danionidae. The record is from RefSeq and is a predicted model, not a curated record. The transcript has 3 exons.